Molecule: long non-coding RNA, 1299 nt
Filed under: Heterocephalus glaber (naked mole-rat)
Lineage: Eukaryota; Metazoa; Chordata; Mammalia; Rodentia; Bathyergidae
Description: lncRNA (ENSHGLG00000045116.1)
Source: RNAcentral
CCCAGACGGUCGCUGUACACUGCACAAUGGCCCGGCCAGCUCAACAGAAAGUUACAGUGUGGUGCCGGAAGUCUGAGUAACAGACACUGGAGGACUGCAGAAUGGCUGUUGGGGUUCCCUGGACACACUCUUCUCACCCUCACCCCGGUCCUACUGAGGUCCUGCACUACCCCUCUGCCCCUGUCUCUGCUUUGCAAACUCCUCUUUGUCUUUAAAACCUCAGGUCCCCUUGGAGACUCUGUGUUCUAUGCCUUCUGCAGUCACCUUGGCCGUAGCCUUCAAUGACAAGUGUCCCUCUUACUGCUGUGGACCCCUCCUGCUCGGGACUUGCUGACUGCCCAUCAGCCUGAGAAGUCCACAGUGCCUUUGCCGAGUGUCCGGAGCCCCCAGGAAAGGCCCUACUGCUGUCUUAUUGGUAUCCAGAAGAUGGGAGCGAGGUCUCCUCAGCACAUCAUGAACCUAAGCCUGUUCUCUGCCUUGAUUCUUCCUCUGCAUCUCUGGACUGUCAAUUCGUCCCUGCUCUUGACUAACCUGCACAGGGCAUGCACUUCUCAACAAAAGCCAAGCUAUGAAUGGCAGCAGAAAGACGUCCAUACUCUGUGUGCAUGUCCUCUACUGCUCCACUAACAAUGACGCUGAAAAACAAAAGAUAGAAAUUUAAAAAAGAGGAAAAAUGAAGACGGUGAUUUGUAAAUAUUGACCUAACAGAGGACAUUUUGGAAAGGAUUGAAGGAACUCCCUGUACUUUCAUACCCUCAAAGUGGCAGGAGCACACAAGUCAUCUCAGUAGCCCGCAUCUUGAGAGACUGGACUGCUCAGAGCUAACAUUCAAGACAGAAAACAGCGAUAAGUAGUAGAACAACAAAAAUGAUCAGAUGACUGAAGCUAUUCUUAAAAUAAUAUGAAAGAUCUUGUUUUGUACAGAUAUUCAUGGGAUAAGGUCUCUUCCUUUGCACUGUGGGAAUCCCUGAACACUGCAUCUGAAAGCUGAAUAAGAAACAGAGAGGUAAAGGAUGAACAGACGCAGACACAGAUGCCACGCGGGAGUCUGAGAAUGGCCUCCCUCUCGGGAGUGGAGUCACAGCAGCCCUAAGGAUCCCCUCCUUUGGGUUUUGUCUCCUUCCGUGAACUCUGAGGCAGAGGCUGAGACUCCUGAGCCUGGGGAGCCCUGAGUCCUUCGAAACCUAACACUUUCCCGUGAAUGUGCAGAGCGCACAGACCGGCGCAACAGUAAAUAUCUCGUGUGGUACACAUGCUUCACUCCUGUUUACCUUGAAUAAGUGCCCGCUACCAGUACAC